UACGUAGGGUGCGAGCGUUAAUCGGAAUUACUGGGCGUAAAGGGUGCGCAGGCGGUUAUACUAAGACAGAUGUGAAAUCCCCGGGCUCAACCUGGGAACUGCGUUUGUGACUGUAUGGACUAGAGUACGGUAGAGAGGGGUGGAAUUCCUGGUGUAGCAGUGAAAUGCGUAGAUAUCAGGAGGAACAUCGAUGGCGAAGGCAGCCCCUUGGACCUGUACUGACGCUCAUGCACGAAAGCGUGGGGAGCAAACAGG
Molecule: ribosomal RNA, 255 nt
Filed under: uncultured bacterium
Lineage: Bacteria
Description: partial 16S ribosomal RNA
Rfam family: Bacterial small subunit ribosomal RNA
Source: RNAcentral